AUGUUCAUCCAUUCGGAAAAUUUUGAGGAUCACAAACACUUGUCAUUUAAUCAUGUUACAAUUCAACAAAAGUGGAUGACAUCUAAACUUGUAGUCUACUUCUAGUUACAACACUUGCGCCCAAGAUCCAUCCUGUCACCUGAAAUACAUGUAAUUUUGGAAAACAUCAACAUAAAGUUGAGCGAGUUCAUGCGUUUUGCAUACCGAGUAUGAAAACAUGGUAUGUAUCUUGUAUAAAUAAAGUAUUCUUGCAAAAAUCAAGUUUUCUUGUGUACACCACGUACUAAUUGAAUGUUUGUACAAAGACAUUUCGGCAUGUGAGGACAUAUGGAGCAUUAGUGUUGGCUCCUUUAAGGCAUGUGAGGACUUAUGGAGCAUUAGUGUUGGCUCCUUUAACUAUGUCGAUUACCCUCGACUGUGUCGAUUAACCUCGACUGUGUCAAUUUCCCUUGACUGUGUCGAUUACCCUCGACUGU
RNAcentral lists this long non-coding RNA (476 nucleotides) under Helianthus annuus (common sunflower). RNAcentral describes it as "sRNA HanXRQr2_Chr09g0376791". The record is from RNAcentral. Lineage: Eukaryota; Viridiplantae; Streptophyta; Magnoliopsida; Asterales; Asteraceae.